RNAcentral lists this ribosomal RNA (926 nucleotides) under Russula sp. Its description in RNAcentral is "partial large subunit ribosomal RNA". It matches the Rfam family "Eukaryotic large subunit ribosomal RNA", at positions 37 to 938 of the family's 3401-position model. Lineage: Eukaryota; Fungi; Basidiomycota; Agaricomycetes; Russulales; Russulaceae. The record is from RNAcentral.
AGCAUAUCAAUAAGCGGAGGAAAAGAAACUAACAAUGAUUCCCCUAGUAACUGCGAGUGAAGCGGGAAAAGCUCAAAUUUAAAAUCUGGUGGCCUUUGGCCAUCCGAGUUGUAAUUUAGAGAAGCGUCUUCCGCGCUGGACCGUGCACAAGUCUCCUGGAAUGGAGCGUCAUAGAGGGUGAGAAUCCCGUCUUUGGCACGGACACGCCAGGGCUUUUGUGAUGCGCUCUCGAAGAGUCGAGUUGUUUGGGAAUGCAGCUCAAAAUGGGUGGUGAACUCCAUCUAAAGCUAAAUAUUGGCGAGAGACCGAUAGCGAACAAGUACCGUGAGGGAAAGAUGAAAAGCACUUUGGAAAGAGAGUGAAACAGUACGUGAAAUUGUUGAAAGGGAAACGCUUGAAGUCAGUCGCGUCGACCGAGACUCAGCCUCGCCUUGGCUUGGCGUACUUCUCGGCUUGACGGGUCAGCAUCAAUUUCGGCCCUUGGAUAAUGGCGGGAGAAAUGUGACACCUUUACGGUGUGUUAUAGUCUCUCGUCGCAUGCGAGGGUCGGGAUUGAGGAACUUAGCACGCGCCUUUCGGCGUCGGGGCCUUCGCCCACGAUACGUGCUUAGGAUGUUGGCGUAAUGGCUUUAAACGACCCGUCUUGAAACACGGACCAAGGAGUCUAACAUGCCUGCGAGUGUUCGGGUGGAAAACCCGUGCGCGCAAUGAAAGUGAAAGUUGGGACCUCUGUCGUGGAGGGCACCGACGCCCGGACCAGACCUUCUGUGACGGCUCUGCGGUAAAGCAUGUAUGUUAGGACCCGAAAGAUGGUGAACUAUGCCUGAAUAGGGUGAAGCCAGAGGAAACUCUGGUGGAGGCUCGUAGCGAUUCUGACGUGCAAAUCGAUCGUCAAAUUUGGGUCAUAGGGGCGAAAGACUAAUCGA